This is a long non-coding RNA of Monodelphis domestica (gray short-tailed opossum), 255 nucleotides long. RefSeq lists it as uncharacterized. The record is from RefSeq and is a predicted model, not a curated record. Lineage: Eukaryota; Metazoa; Chordata; Mammalia; Didelphimorphia; Didelphidae.
ACUCACCCGGCUACGGACUGUGAGGCCGGUAACUCGGUCCGGUCUCACCACGUAGCCUUUCGAGCGGCGUGGACAGCUGGAACCAUGGUGGUGAUGGUGGCUUCUAGAGCGCCGCGACUCCUCCGGGUCAGUCCCGGUGCUGCUGAAUGCCAUUGAAAGAAGUCACACAACCCUGCUGACUGGGUCUAUUGCAUUUUUAUGUUAUCUAAUCUCAGCCAGGUCUUCACUGCUGAUUAAAAGCCCUUUUGCACACCC